AUAUAAUGAGUUAAAUAAAUUUUGAAAAUUAUUUGAUAUUAUUAAUAAAAAAAAUAUUUAUAUAAUUAUUAGAUGAAGUAUUAAUUAGAAAAAUUUAUUUUAUUAUAAUUUGUAAAAUAUAAUUUAAAUUAAAUAAAAAUAAAAAUUAAUUUUUUGUUCCUUUUGUAUAAGGAUAAAUUAAUUUAAUUUAAUUUAUAUUAAUAUUUCGAAAUAUUAAGAGAUAAAAUUUUAUUAUAGUUAAUAUUGAAUUAUUAUUAUAAAUAAAAUUUUUGUAAUUAAAUGUUAAUCGAUUAAUAUAUAUCUAAUUUUUUAAGAAAUAAAUUUAAUUUAGAUUUUAAUUUAAUUAUUUAUUUUAAUUUAAUAAGUAAUUUAUUAAAAUUAAUAGUAAAUGAGAUAAAUUUUUUAUUAUUAUUAAAAUUUUUAAAUAGAUUAAUUAAAUUUAUUAUUAUUAUUAUUAUUUAUUUUAAUAAAAUUUUAUAUUUAAAAUUUAUUAAAUAAUUAUUUUAUAAAAAAUUUAAUUAUUAUAUUAAAAUAAAAUUUUUAAUUAAAAAAAAUUUUUAAUAAUGAUUUAAUUAGUAAAUUAUUUGAAUAUAUAUAUAUAUAUAUAUAUAUAUUAAAUAUAAUUAUUAAUAAUUAAGCAAUAUUUAUUUUCACUUGUUUAACAAAAACAUGGUUUUAAGUAAAUAAUUUAAGAUUUAAUCUGUCCAAUGAUUAAUAUAUUAAAUUAAAUGACUGCAGUAUAUUAACUGUGCUAAGGUAGCAUAAUAAAUAGUUUUUUAAUUGAAAACUGGAAUGAAUGAUUGAAUGAAAAAUAAACUUUUUUAUAAUUAUUUAAUUGAAUUUAAUUUUAAAGUAAAAAAUCUUUAAUUUAUUUAAAAGACGAUAAGACCCUAUAAAAUUUAAUAAUUAUUUUAGUAAAAUAGAAUAUAUAUAUAUAUAUAUAUAUAUAUAUAUAUAUAUAUACACACAUUAAAAUGAUUAUUUUAUUGGGAUGAUAUUAAAAUUUAAUUAACUUUUAGUUUAAUUUAAAUUAAAUAAAAUAUUUUAUGAAUAAUAUUUAAAUUAUUUUAAAAUAAAUUACUUUAGGGAUAACAGCAUAAUUUUUUUGGUAAGAUCAAAUUUAUAAAAAAGAUUAUGACCUCGAUGUUGAAUUAAAAUUAAAUAUUAUUGUAGAUAAUAAUAAUUUUAGUCUGUUCGACUAUUAAAAUUUUACAUGAUUUGAGUUCAAAUCGGCGUGAGCCAGAUUGGUUUCUAUCUUUAAUAGUAUUAUAAAAUUUUUGUACGAAAGGACUAAAUUUUAAAUUUUUAAUUUAA
This 1314-nucleotide ribosomal RNA is filed under the name Habroteleia persimilis. RNAcentral describes it as "16S ribosomal RNA". Lineage: Eukaryota; Metazoa; Arthropoda; Insecta; Hymenoptera; Scelionidae. The record is from RNAcentral.